GCCUAUAAUAAUCCUUCCUCUUCACAAACAACUUUACAUCCUCCAAUAUCCAAGCCUUCAUCUCAUUAUCCAUCGCAAUCGUUUCGAAUGUAGCCGGAUGGUUUAAAACCACCGAGCUCCAGUAAUCGGUUCCGCUAUAAUCCACAGUAUGAAGUUUAACUGCUUUUAGUUGGGCUUUGAUGUGUUCAGCUGUUUUUAGUACAUGUGGGACUGGAAGUGCAACUCGAAAAAAGGGGGUCUUCUUUUAUAAACCUUGCAAACAACUUUGAAGAUCUGCAAUCAAGUUCAAGAAAUCAGUUAAAAUCAACACAAAAUCACCAAACUAAUGAACCAAGAUUGAAGAACUAACCAUCCUGAGUCACGAGAGGAUAAUCUGAGGCAUUGAGGUUUAUAUACCAAUCCCAAUCCUUAAACUUUCUAAUUAAGAAUGGCAGAAGCAUGAAGAGUGUUAGACACCAUCGUUGGUCCUCUAUAUGUAACCAUGUUAGCUUUUGGGAUCACAUAAACAUUCCCACUACAGAAAAAACCGGAUCAUUUUUCAACCUGUAAAGCAAGCUCCGUUCUCUCCUUGAGUGGCGAUUCAAGAUCAAGAUGAAGAAUAUAGUAGUUCCAUGGAUGAUAUAAUGCUCUCAGUGUCCUCCAUAACUUGUUUAAAUCCCCUUUCGAACUAUAAACCAGAUAAGCGAAAUGAGAAACGGUGGUAAAAGAUCCGGUUUUAUUCAUUCUAAUUCGAAAUGAAUUGAGUUUUUCUUCAAUACCCAAAUUGAGAGAUAUUGUGAACAAAAAGAUGGAUAUGCUUGAAGCCAUGGCCAAUGAGAGUACCAAUUUUUUUUUCAUAGUGAAGAAAUUUAAUUUCUUUAAGCUUCACCAUUGUUGUUUUACUUUUGUAAUCUCAUUCACAUCAGUUUUCUUUCG
RNAcentral lists this long non-coding RNA (915 nucleotides) under Helianthus annuus (common sunflower). RNAcentral's name for it is "hypothetical non coding rna". The record is from RNAcentral. Lineage: Eukaryota; Viridiplantae; Streptophyta; Magnoliopsida; Asterales; Asteraceae.